Molecule: ribosomal RNA, 594 nt
Filed under: uncultured Bacteroidota bacterium
Lineage: Bacteria; Pseudomonadati; Bacteroidota
Description: bacterial SSU rRNA
Rfam family: Bacterial small subunit ribosomal RNA
Source: RNAcentral
CAACCUGCCGCUUACUCGGGGAUAGCCUUUCGAAAGAAAGAUUAAUACCCGAUGGUAUAAAGAGUUCGCAUGUUCUCUUUAUUAAAGAAUUUCGGUAAGCGAUGGGGAUGCGUUCCAUUAGAUAGUUGGCGGGGUAACGGCCCACCAAGUCUACGAUGGAUAGGGGUUCUGAGAGGAAGGUCCCCCUCAUUGGAACUGAGACACGGUCCAAACUCCUACGGGAGGCAGCAGUGAGGAAUAUUGGUCAAUGGACGCGAGUCUGAACCAGCCAAGUAGCGUGAAGGAUGACUGCCCUAUGGGUUGUAAACUUCUUUUAUAAGGGAAUAAAGUGAGGGACGUGUCCCUUUUUGUAUGUACCUUAUGAAUAAGGAUCGGCUAACUCCGUGCCAGCAGCCGCGGUAAUACGGAGGAUCCAAGCGUUAUCCGGAUUUAUUGGGUUUAAAGGGAGCGUAGGUUGACAUAUAAGUCAGCUGUGAAAGUUUACGGCUCAACCGUGAAAUUGCAGUUGAUACUGUAUGUCUUGAGUGUACAAGAGGUGGGCGGAAUUCGUGGUGUAGCGGUGUAAUGCUUAGAUAUCACGAAGAACUCCGAUUG